Molecule: ribosomal RNA, 547 nt
Filed under: Desmoscolecidae sp. 806_8-1500_X
Lineage: Eukaryota; Metazoa; Nematoda; Chromadorea; Desmoscolecida; Desmoscolecidae
Description: eukaryotic LSU rRNA
Rfam family: Eukaryotic large subunit ribosomal RNA
Source: RNAcentral
AGAGGGCGUGAAACCGCUUAGAAGGAAACGAGAGGCGCUGCUAGUUUCCUUCAAGAUUCAGCCUGUGCGCGUUCUUUGAGCGCGUCGGGUGCAUUUCUUGUUGGAGUGCACUGAGAGGUGUUCCGGAUCUGGUACUGCCUUUUGGCGGUGAGCACACCUUGUGCAGCCUCACAAGGGGUAAGUGUCUGGUCUGGGACAUUUUUGUACCCGUUUGGCGUUCAGUGUUGCCGAUUGAUUGCACUUGCGGAGUGGUCUGGCUCGGUCGUUCUAUUCCGCAUAGGUGAUUUUGAGGUCGCAUCUGAACGGGUGUUUUCUCGGUGUUUUAGUCGGCCACCCUCCCGACCCGUCUUGAAACACGGACCAAGGAGUCUAACAUGUGCGCGAGUCAUUGGGUGUAUUAAUCCUACAGGCGAAAUGAAAGUAAAAGUCGACUCUGUCGGCUUACACACGAUUCCGUUGGCUUGCCAACAGGAGGCAGUGUGGUCCCAUCUUGAUUGCUUGCCAGUGAGGUGGAGACAGAGCGUACAUGUUGGGACCCGAAAGAUGG